Molecule: ribosomal RNA, 304 nt
Filed under: uncultured bacterium
Lineage: Bacteria
Description: bacterial SSU rRNA
Rfam family: Bacterial small subunit ribosomal RNA
Source: RNAcentral
CGAACGCUGGCGGCAGGCCUAACACAUGCAAGUCGAACGGUAGCACAGAGAGCUUGCUCUCGGGUGACGAGUGGCGGACGGGUGAGUAAUGUCUGGGAAACUGCCUGAUGGAGGGGGAUAACUACUGGAAACGGUAGCUAAUACCGCAUAAUGUCGCAAGACCAAAGAGGGGGACCUUCGGGCCUCUUGCCAUCGGAUGUGCCCAGAUGGGAUUAGCUAGUAGGUGGGGUAAUGGCUCACCUAGGCGACGAUCCCUAGCUGGUCUGAGAGGAUGACCAGCCACACUGGAACUGAGACACGGUCC